GAUGAACGCUGGCGGCGUGCCUAACACAUGCAAGUCGAGCGAUCUUCUUCGGAAGAGAGCGGCGGACGGGUGAGUAACGCGUGGGUAACCUGCCCUGUACACACGGAUAACAUACCGAAAGGUAUGCUAAUACGGGAUAACAUAAGAAAGUCGCAUGGCUUUCUUAUCAAAGCUUUUGCGGUACAGGAUGGACCCGCGUCUGAUUAGCUAGUUGGUAAGGUAACGGCUUACCAAGGCGACGAUCAGUAGCCGACCUGAGAGGGUGAUCGGCCACAUUGGAACUGAGACACGGUCCAAACUCCUACGGGAGGCAGCAGUGGGGAAUAUUGCACAAUGGGCGAAAGCCUGAUGCAGCAACGCCGCGUGAGCGAUGAAGGCCUUCGGGUCGUAAAGCUCUGUCCUCAAGGAAGAUAAUGACGGUACUUGAGGAGGAAGCCCCGGCUAACUACGUGCCAGCAGCCGCGGUAAUACGUAGGGGGCUAGCGUUAUCCGGAAUUACUGGGCGUAAAGGGUGCGUAGGCGGUCUUUCAAGUCAGAAGUGAAAGGCUACGGCUCAACCGUAGUAAGCUUUUGAAACUGUAAGACUUGAGUGCAGGAGAGGAGAGUGGAAUUCCUAGUGUAGCGGCGAAAUGCGUAGAUAUUAGGAGGAACACCAGUUGCGAAGGCGGCUCUCUGGACUGUAACUGACGCUGAGGCACGAAAGC
RNAcentral lists this ribosomal RNA (704 nucleotides) under uncultured Clostridium sp. Its description in RNAcentral is "bacterial SSU rRNA". It matches the Rfam family "Bacterial small subunit ribosomal RNA", at positions 28 to 760 of the family's 1533-position model. The record is from RNAcentral. Lineage: Bacteria; Bacillati; Bacillota; Clostridia; Eubacteriales; Clostridiaceae.